Molecule: non-coding RNA, 458 nt
Organism: Oryza sativa Japonica Group (Japanese rice)
Lineage: Eukaryota; Viridiplantae; Streptophyta; Magnoliopsida; Poales; Poaceae
Source: RefSeq, a predicted model, not a curated record
CAGUGAACUUGAAGAGUGGAAAAUCAUAAAUACAUAUAGGAGGAGAACUUAAUUAUCUUCUUAAUAAUGGCAGUUGCAAGGAGGAUGGUGUCCUCCAUCUCUGUGGUUUUCUUCAUGCUUCUUCUGAUCGUGGCAGAUUCCACCUUCUCAUCCUGCUAUGCAUUAACACCUAGACAAACGUGCAAUGACCUAGGAGAUUUAGCGUGCACUGACGAGACGUGCAAGAAGAUAUACGGAGACAGAUUAGAAUACUACUGCAAGCCAGGCGUCACCCCUACGGUAUGCUGCUGUAUGAACGUCACAGCAUCAGUUCCCAGUGGUGUCAAGAAUCAAAACGGCGAUACGCUUCUUAAUUAGUUAUAAUUGAUCAUGUUCCAUGUAAAGUUCGUCGAUAUGUUUGGAGUUUGGUGCCAACUCAAUAAAUAAACAUGCAUACAUAAUUUGGGUUUGUUAAUAAA